UAAAGGGCAUCUAGGCGGCCAGAUAAGUCUGGGGUGAAAACUUGCGGCUCAACCGCAAGCCUGCCCUGGAAACUAUGUGGCUAGAGUACUGGAGAGGUGGACGGAACUGCACGAGUAGAGGUGAAAUUCGUAGAUAUGUGCAGGAAUGCCGAUGAUGAAGAUAGUUCACUGGACGGUAACUGACGCUGAAGUGCGAAAGCUAGGGGAGCAAACAGGAUUAGAUACCCUGGUAGUCCUAGCUGUAAACGAUGAUUACUGGGUGUGGGCAUGAAGAGUGUCCGUGCCGAAGCUAAUGCGAUAAGUAAUCCGCCUGGGGAGUACGGCCGCAAGGCUGAAACUCAAAGGAAUUGACGGGGACCCGCACAAGCGGUGGAGCAUGUGGUUUAAUUCGACGCAACGCGAGGAACCUUACCAGAUCUUGACAUCCUGCGUAGGCCUGCGAGAGCAGGCUGUGCCUUAGGGAACGCAGAGACAGGUGGUGCAUGGCUGUCGUCAGCUCGUGUCGUGA
RNAcentral lists this ribosomal RNA (508 nucleotides) under uncultured bacterium. RNAcentral's name for it is "bacterial SSU rRNA". It matches the Rfam family "Bacterial small subunit ribosomal RNA", at positions 561 to 1070 of the family's 1533-position model. The record is from RNAcentral.